AACGUAGGAGACAAACGUUAUCCGGAGUUACUGGGCGUAAAGGGCGUGUAGGUGGUAUCGUAAGUCUGGCGUGAAAUUUCUCGGCUUAACCGAGGCAGGUCGUCGGAUACUGCGAGGCUAGAGGACGGUAGAGGCGUGUGGAAUUCCGGGUGUAGUGGUGAAAUGCGUAGAGAUCCGGAGGAACACCAGUAGCGAAGGCGACACGCUGGGCCGUACCUGACACUGAUGCGCGACAGCAUGGGGAGCAAACAGG
RNAcentral lists this ribosomal RNA (253 nucleotides) under uncultured bacterium. Its description in RNAcentral is "partial 16S ribosomal RNA". It matches the Rfam family "Bacterial small subunit ribosomal RNA", at positions 524 to 776 of the family's 1533-position model. The record is from RNAcentral.